RNAcentral lists this ribosomal RNA (345 nucleotides) under uncultured bacterium. RNAcentral's name for it is "partial 16S ribosomal RNA". It matches the Rfam family "Bacterial small subunit ribosomal RNA", at positions 338 to 697 of the family's 1533-position model. The record is from RNAcentral.
CCUACGGGAGGCAGCAGUGGGGGAUAUUGGACAAUGGGGGAAACCCUGAUCCAGCGACGCCGCGUGAGUGAAGAAGGAUUUCGGGAUGUAAAGCUCUAUCAGCAGGGAAGAAAGAAAUGACGGGAGCGGAGUAAGAAGCCUAGGCUAACUACGGGCCAGCAGCCGCGGUAAUACGGAGGGGGCAAGCGUAAGCCGGAAUUACUGGGUGUAACGGGAGCGUCGACGGUAAGGCAAGUCUGUAGUGAAAGGCGGGGGCCCAACCCCCGGACUGCUCUGGAUACUGUGUACCUGGAGGGCAGGAGCGGCAGGCGGCAUUCCUCGUGUAGCGGUGCACUGCUUAGCUAU